Molecule: ribosomal RNA, 292 nt
Filed under: uncultured bacterium
Lineage: Bacteria
Description: partial 16S ribosomal RNA
Rfam family: Bacterial small subunit ribosomal RNA
Source: RNAcentral
GUGUCAGCCGCCGCGGUAAUACAGGGGGGGCAAGCGUUGUUCGGAAUUACUGGGCGUAAAGGGUUCGUAGGUGGCCAACUAAGUCAUACGUGAAAUCCCUCAGCUUAACUGGGGAACUGCGUCUGAUACUGGUUGGCUUGAGUGCAGGAGAGGAACGCGGAAUUCCAGGUGUAGCGGUGAAAUGCGUAGAUAUCUGGAGGAACACCGGUGGCGAAGGCGGCGUUCUGGACUGCAACUGACACUGAGGAACGAAAGCCAGGGGAGCAAACGGGAUUAGAUACCCGGGUAGUCC